Molecule: ribosomal RNA, 1449 nt
Filed under: uncultured bacterium
Lineage: Bacteria
Description: bacterial SSU rRNA
Rfam family: Bacterial small subunit ribosomal RNA
Source: RNAcentral
AGAGUUUGAUCAUGGCUCAGGAUGAACGCUGGCGGCGUGCUUAACACAUGCAAGUCGAACGAACCUUCGGGUUAGUGGCGGACGGGUGAGUAACGCGUGAGAAUCUGCCCUCAGGAGGGGGAUAACGGUUGGAAACGACCGCUAAUACCCCAUAUGCCUACUGGUGAAACGAAUUUCGCCUGAGGAUGAGCUCGCGUCUGAUUAGCUAGUUGGUGAGGUAAUGGCUCACCAAGGCUUCGAUCAGUAGCUGGUCUGAGAGGAUGAUCAGCCACACUGGGACUGAGACACGGCCCAGACUCCUACGGGAGGCAGCAGUGGGGAAUUUUCCGCAAUGGGCGAAAGCCUGACGGAGCAACGCCGCGUGAGGGACGAAGGCCUCUGGGCUGUAAACCUCUUUUCUCAAGGAAGAAGAUAUGACGGUACUUGAGGAAUAAGCCACGGCUAAUUCCGUGCCAGCAGCCGCGGUAAUACGGGAGUGGCAAGCGUUAUCCGGAAUUAUUGGGCGUAAAGCGUCCGCAGGCGGCUUUUCAAGUCUGCUGUUAAAGCGUGGAGCUUAACUCCAUCAUGGCAGUGGAAACUGAAAGGCUUGAGUAUGGUAGGGGCAGAGGGAAUUCCCGGUGUAGCGGUGAAAUGCGUAGAUAUCGGGAAGAACACCAGUGGCGAAGGCGCUCUGCUGGGCCAUUACUGACGCUCAUGGACGAAAGCCAGGGGAGCGAAAGGGAUUAGAUACCCCUGUAGUCCUGGCCGUAAACGAUGAACACUAGGUGUCGGGGGAAUCGACCCCUUCGGUGUCGUAGCUAACGCGUUAAGUGUUCCGCCUGGGGAGUACGCACGCAAGUGUGAAACUCAAAGGAAUUGACGGGGGCCCGCACAAGCGGUGGAGUAUGUGGUUUAAUUCGAUGCAACGCGAAGAACCUUACCAGGGUUUGACAUCCUGCGAACCUCUUAGAAAUUUGAGGGUGCCUUCGGGAAUGCAGUGACAGGUGGUGCAUGGCUGUCGUCAGCUCGUGUCGUGAGAUGUUGGGUUAAGUCCCGCAACGAGCGCAACCCACGUUUUUAGUUGCCAGCAUUUAGUUGGGCACUCUAGAAAGACCGCCGGUGAUAAACCGGAGGAAGGUGUGGAUGACGUCAAGUCAUCAUGCCCCUUACACCCUGGGCUACACACGUACUACAAUGCUACGGACAAAGGGCAGCAAACUCGCGAGAGCUAGCAAAUCCCAUAAACCGUGGCUCAGUUCAGAUCGUAGGCUGCAACUCGCCUACGUGAAGUAGGAAUCGCUAGUAAUCGCAGGUCAGCAUACUGCGGUGAAUACGUUCCCGGGCCUUGUACACACCGCCCGUCACACCAUGGAAGUUGGCCAUGCCCGAAGUCGUUACUCCAACCCUUGUGGAGGAGGACGCCGAAGGUGGGGCUAAUGACUGGGGUGAAGUCAUAACAAGGUAGCCGUA